AUUGAACGCUGGCGGCAGGCCUAACACAUGCAAGUCGAGCGGAUGAAGGGAGCUUGCUCCUGGAUUCAGCGGCGGACGGGUGAGUAAUGCCUGGGAAUCUGCCUGGUAGUGGGGGAUAACGUCCGGAAACGGGCGCUAAUACCGCAUACGUCCUGAGGGAGAAAGUGGGGGAUCUUCGGACCUCACGCUAUCAGAUGAGCCUAGGUCGGAUUAGCUAGUUGGUGGGGUAAAGGCCUACCAAGGCGACGAUCCGUAACUGGUCUGAGAGGAUGAUCGGUCACACUGGAACUGAGACACGGUCCAGACUCCUACGGGAGGCAGCAGUGGGGAAUAUUGGACAAUGGGCGAAAGCCUGAUCCAGCCAUGCCGCGUGUGUGAAGAAGGUCUUCGGAUUGUAAAGCACUUUAAGUUGGGAGGAAGGGCAGUAAGUUAAUACCUUUCUGUUUUGACGUUACCAACAGAAUAAGCACCGGCUAACUUCGUG
Molecule: ribosomal RNA, 484 nt
Filed under: uncultured bacterium
Lineage: Bacteria
Description: partial 16S ribosomal RNA
Rfam family: Bacterial small subunit ribosomal RNA
Source: RNAcentral